Non-coding RNA from Caenorhabditis elegans, 21 nucleotides. Lineage: Eukaryota; Metazoa; Nematoda; Chromadorea; Rhabditida; Rhabditidae. The record is from Ensembl.
UGUCGAACUGUUUUUGAAAAU